This 245-nucleotide ribosomal RNA is filed under the name uncultured bacterium. RNAcentral describes it as "partial 16S ribosomal RNA". It matches the Rfam family "Bacterial small subunit ribosomal RNA", at positions 524 to 767 of the family's 1533-position model. The record is from RNAcentral.
UACGAAGGGGGCUAGCGUUGUUCGGAAUCACUGGGCGUAAAGCGCACGCAGGCGGAUUGAUAAGUCAGGGGUGAAAUCCCGGGGCUCAACCUCGGAAUUGCCUUUGAUACUGUCUGUCUUCGAGUUCGGGAGAGGUUGGCGGAAUUCCUAGUGUAGAGGUGAAAUUCGUAGAUAUUAGGAAGAACACCAGUGGCGAAGGCGGCCAACUGGCCCGAUACUGACGCUCAUGUGCGAAAGCGUGGGGA